UAUCUUCAUUGUUGUAUUUAUUGUCCCUCAAUGCCGCAAUGAAUGACUUUCUUACUAAAGUGGGACCGAUUUAUUCGGAGUAAAGUUCUAUGUGCAUAUUGAUUAUGACAAUAUGUAUAUAAGUCUCGACUAAUUACGUGCCAGCAGUCGCGGCAAUACGUAUGAGACGAGUGUUAUUCAUCUUUAAUAGGUUUAAAGGGUACUUAGACGGUUUAAUUAGCCAAAGCGGUACAAUUAAUCUAGAGUUUUAUAAAAGAAGGUAGUACUCUUGAGUGUAGAGAUGAAAUUCUUUGAUACCUUGGGGACUGGUAAAGGCGAAGGCAACCUUUUACGUAAAAACUGACGUCAAUGGACGAAGGCUAAGAGCACUAACGGGAUUCGGUACCCCAGUAGUCUUUGCAGAAAAUUAUGAAUGUCAUAGGUUAGUAAUAUAUAUCUAGGGUAGUGGGUGGAUGUUUAAAUUUUCCACUUUAAGUACAGGUUGAUAACAGUAUAAUAAUAUGGUAGGCGCAUCUUAUUCGGUGGGCCGGUAUGUGUUAACUAUGUAUUAAUUGUACUUAGUACAUAUGUACUAAGUAUGGUUGCUACCUUGAUAGUUUAGUCUAUAAAUGAAAGUGUAAGCAUUUCACCUCAAGAGUAAUGCGGCGAAUCGAUUGGAACUGAAAUCACUAUGAGCAUGGGCGAAGAGGGAGAUCAAUGUUCGC
RNAcentral lists this ribosomal RNA (704 nucleotides) under Phyllachora myrciariae. RNAcentral's name for it is "SSU rRNA". The stretch from base 1 to 470 matches the Rfam family "Bacterial small subunit ribosomal RNA", at positions 359 to 873 of the family's 1533-position model. Lineage: Eukaryota; Fungi; Ascomycota; Sordariomycetes; Phyllachorales; Phyllachoraceae. The record is from RNAcentral.